CCUACGGGUGGCAGCAGUGAGGAAUAUUGGUCAAUGGACGAGAGUCUGAACCAGCCAAGUAGCGUGAAGGAUGACUGCCCUAUGGGUUGUAAACUUCUUUUAUAUGGGAAUAAAAUGUUCCACGUGUGGGAUUUUGUAUGUACCAUAUGAAUAAGGAUCGGCUAACUCCGUGCCAGCAGCCGCGGUAAUACGGAGGAUCCGAUCGUUAUCCGGAUUUAUUGGGUUUAAAGGUAGCGUAGGUGGAUUGUUAAGUCAGUUGUGAAAGUUUGCGGCUCAAACGUAAAAUUGCAGUUGAAACUGGCAGUCUUGAGUACAGUAGAGGUGGGCGGAAUUCGUGGUGUAGCGGUGAAAUGCUUAGAGAUCACGAAGAACUCCGAUUGCGAAGGCAGUUCACUGGACUGCAACUGACACUGAGGCUCGAAAGUGUGGGUAUCAAACAGGAUUAGAUACCCCUGUAGUC
RNAcentral lists this ribosomal RNA (460 nucleotides) under uncultured bacterium. RNAcentral describes it as "partial 16S ribosomal RNA". It matches the Rfam family "Bacterial small subunit ribosomal RNA", at positions 338 to 795 of the family's 1533-position model. The record is from RNAcentral.